CCUACGGGGGGCUGCAGUGGGGAAUAUUGGACAAUGGGUGCAACCCUGAUCCAGCCAUGCCGCGUGUGUGAAGAAGGCCCUCGGGUUGUAAAGCACUUUCAGUGAGGAAGAACGCCUGGUGGUUAAUACCCAUCAGGAAAGACAUCACUCACAGAAGAAGCACCGGCUAACUCCGUGCCAGCAGCCGCGGUAAUACGGAGGGUGCGAGCGUUAAUCGGAAUUACUGGGCGUAAAGCGCGCGUAGGUGACUUGAUAAGCCGGUUGUGAAAGCCCCGGGCUCAACCUGGGAACGGCAUCCGGAACUGUCAAGCUAGAGUGCAGGAGAGGAAGGUAGAAUUCCCGGUGUAGCGGUGAAAUGCGUAGAGAUCGGGAGGAAUACCAGUGGCGAAGGCGGCCUUCUGGACUGACACUGACACUGAGGUGCGAAAGCGUGGGUAGCAAACAGGAUUAGAUACCCCAGUAGUC
This 465-nucleotide ribosomal RNA is filed under the name Vreelandella stevensii. RNAcentral's name for it is "partial 16S ribosomal RNA". It matches the Rfam family "Bacterial small subunit ribosomal RNA", at positions 338 to 795 of the family's 1533-position model. Lineage: Bacteria; Pseudomonadati; Pseudomonadota; Gammaproteobacteria; Oceanospirillales; Halomonadaceae. The record is from RNAcentral.